RNAcentral lists this ribosomal RNA (253 nucleotides) under uncultured bacterium. RNAcentral describes it as "partial 16S ribosomal RNA". It matches the Rfam family "Bacterial small subunit ribosomal RNA", at positions 524 to 776 of the family's 1533-position model. The record is from RNAcentral.
GACGAACCGUGCGAACGUUGUUCGGAAUCACUGGGCGUAAAGGGCGCGUAGGUGGCGACCCAAGUCGAUGGUGAAAGCUCGCCGCUCAACGGCGAGUCGGCCACCGAUACUGGGUUGCUGGAGCACUGUAGAGGCUCAUGGAAUUCCGGGUGUAGCAGUGAAAUGCGUAGAGAUGCGGAGGAACACCGAUGGCGAAGGCAGCCCCCUGGGCUAGCACUGACGCUCAGGCACGAAAGCGUGGGGAGCAAACAGG